UUUUAAGAAAAAUAUGAAAGUUAAGUAGGAAAAAUAAAAUAUUACUUUCAUUGUUUAUGGAAGCUAAAAGUAUUUUAGAAAUAUUUUUAGUAAGUUUAUGAAAAAGGAUAAAAAGUCUUAACUCAACUAGGUUAAUGUAAUAAACUCCUUUUAUAUAAGAAGAGCAUGUGUGUUAUCUUCCAUCUACACUAAGCAAGCCGAUAUGUAAGGUUGAGAGAGAGAUAGAGAAGUCUUUAAUCUUUGUUGUAAUAUCAUAGUGGAUUGACUCUUUGUCAUGCCCCCAUAGACAUAGUCAUUCUAGGUGAACUCUAGAUAAACAUUGGCUUGUGUUUAUCUUCUAUUUCCGUCCUAUUAUUCUACUUAUCUCUAUAAUUAUGCAAACUUAUACUUUCUAACUUAUGUUGACGACUUCUUCAAAGAAUGUGUUAGUGUAUUUGAUUCUGGUGCUAAAUCAAACUGAUUUUCUAUCCAGGAACAAAACAAAAAUUCAAAAACAAAAAUCUAAUAUCACCAUUCGUGUUAAAAAAACUAAAAUCUACUGGAAAACCAUAAACCAAAAUUCAAAAACUUAAAACCAAAAGGUAAAAAACAAAAAAAGCAAAAUCUAAAAAACUGUGUAUCCAAUCAGAGACUUGACGAGAAAAAAAUAAACCAUGUAGGACAAGCUUCGUGUAAAGCUAUUGUCUGGUUCAAAUCAAUUUUUUUUAUAAACCGAACUGGCAACCAACUGGAAAAUUUUUGGAUCAUAGGUCAAUAUAGUUUGGCCGGAUUCAGUUGGGUUCAACAACAUUAAAUUAAAUUAUAUUUUAAAUAAUAUACAUAUUCUUUAAAAAAUAUCAUAUCAAAUAAAAUAUUUCAGUAACCAAUUAUUAAAAAAAAAACUGAAAUGUAAUAAAAUAAUUUAAUAUUUUAAAUCUAUAAUAAUAUGAAAAAAAACACAUUUAAACAUUGUUCUCGAGGUCUUCAUCACUCUAAAUCUUAUUCACCGUUAAAACAAAUCAUGUAAACUAAGUUUUUAUUUGUUAGUGUGAGAAGCAAGAAUAAGUACAAUGGUUUGUACUUUUAUACAUAUUUGGAAUUUCAUG
RNAcentral lists this long non-coding RNA (1085 nucleotides) under Brassica rapa (field mustard). RNAcentral describes it as "long non-coding RNA (BRAP_LNC002728)". The record is from RNAcentral. Lineage: Eukaryota; Viridiplantae; Streptophyta; Magnoliopsida; Brassicales; Brassicaceae.